GUGCCAGCAGCCGCGGUAAUACGUAGGUGGCAAGCGUUGUCCGGAUUUACUGGGCGUAAAGGAUGUGUAGGCGGAUAUUUAAGUGAGAUGUGAAAUCCCCGGGCUUAACUUGGGGGCUGCAUUUCAAACUGGAUGUCUAGAGUGCAGGAGAGGAAAGCAGAAUUCCUAGUGUAGCGGUGAAAAGCGUAGAGAUUAGGAAGAAAACCAGUGGCGAAAGCGGCUUUAUGGACUGUAACUGAUGCGGAGGCAUGAAAGCGGGGGGAGCAAACAGGAUUAGAUUCCCUGGUAGUCCACG
Molecule: ribosomal RNA, 295 nt
Filed under: uncultured bacterium
Lineage: Bacteria
Description: partial 16S rRNA
Rfam family: Bacterial small subunit ribosomal RNA
Source: RNAcentral